AGUUUAUUAAAAUAUAGUCUAUUAGCUUUCAAGGUUAAAGGUGUUAUUAAUAUGAAUUU
Molecule: transfer RNA, 59 nt
Filed under: Lycosa singoriensis
Lineage: Eukaryota; Metazoa; Arthropoda; Arachnida; Araneae; Lycosidae
Description: tRNA-Trp
Source: RNAcentral